GACGAACGCUGGCGGCGUGCUUAACACAUGCAAGUCGAACGGUAAGGCCCUUCGGGGUACACGAGUGGCGAACGGGUGAGUAACACGUGGGUGAUCUGCCCUGCACUUCGGGAUAAGCCUGGGAAACUGGGUCUAAUACCGGAUAGGACUCCUGGCUUCAUGGUUGGGGGUGGAAAGCUUUUGCGGUGUGGGAUGGGCCCGCGGCCUAUCAGCUUGUUGGUGGGGUAAUGGCCUACCAAGGCGACGACGGGUAGCCGGCCUGAGAGGGUGACCGGUCACACUGGGACUGAGAUACGGCCGAGACUCCUACGGGAGGCAGCAGUGGGGGAUAUUGCACAAUGGGCGCAAGCCUGAUGCAGCGACGCCGCGUGAGGGAUGACGGCCUUCGGGUUGUAAACCUCUUUCAGCUAUGACGAAGCGCAAGUGACGGUAGUAGCAGAAGAAGGACCGGCCAACUACGUGCCAGCCGCCGCUGUAA
RNAcentral lists this ribosomal RNA (478 nucleotides) under uncultured bacterium. RNAcentral's name for it is "partial 16S ribosomal RNA". It matches the Rfam family "Bacterial small subunit ribosomal RNA", at positions 28 to 523 of the family's 1533-position model. The record is from RNAcentral.